CGCUCCUUGUUUUACCAAAUAUAAGGAGUAGGACCUGCCCGGUGAGAUUUUUAACGGCCGCGGUACUCUGACCGUGCAAAGGUAGCAUAAUCAUUUGCCUUAUAAUUGAAGGCUUGUAUGAAUGGUUUGACGAAAUCGAUACUGUCUCUUUUUUACUUUGUAGAAUUUGACUUAAGGGUGAAGAGGCCCUUAUCUUACUGAAGGACAAGAAGACCCUGUCGAGCUUAAAGAAUAGGUGGAGAAUUAAUAUAAAACUAAAUAAAUAGAUUACUAGAUAAUUCUUUUGGUUGGGGCGACUGAGGAACAGAAAAAGCUUCCUUUAUUCUUUAUAUCUUACAGGUUAAAGAUCCAGCUAUGCUGAUUGUAGAAAUUAGUUACCGCAGGGAUAACAGCAUAAUCUCUCUUAAGAGACCAUAUCGAAAGGGGGGGUUGUGACCUCGAUGUUGGACUAGGAUAUCCUAAAGAUGUAGAAGUCUUUGAGGGUUGGUCUGUUCGACCAUUAAAAUCCU
RNAcentral lists this ribosomal RNA (509 nucleotides) under Supplanaxis nancyae. Its description in RNAcentral is "partial 16S ribosomal RNA". It matches the Rfam family "Bacterial large subunit ribosomal RNA", at positions 1817 to 2597 of the family's 2925-position model. Lineage: Eukaryota; Metazoa; Mollusca; Gastropoda; Planaxidae. The record is from RNAcentral.